GUGCUCGCUUUGGUGACACAUAUAUUAAAAUCUGGAUAUUAUAGAGAAGAUUAGCAUGACCCCUUCUCAUAAAUGACAUACAAGUUCAUAAAAUAUCCCACAUUUUU
Cavia aperea (Brazilian guinea pig) is the source of this 107-nucleotide small nuclear RNA. The record is from Ensembl. NCBI's taxonomy places the organism in Eukaryota, Metazoa, Chordata, Mammalia, Rodentia, Caviidae.